CAUUGUAGGCUACACAUAGCCUAGAUGUCCUUAAUAUGUGAACGUCCUUAAAGACGUCCCGAACGAUGGGCUCAUAGGAGAUCUUACAGUCGUCUCGGAGAAGGAAUAGAUGAAACACGAAGUUUUUCCGGUUUUGACCAUUCUGCCCUGACCCUGCCUGCCGUUCUUUACCUUUCUGACUCUGCCCUGGAUUACUGACCUCUGCCUGCCCCUUGACCUGUCAUCUGCCUGCCCCAUGUUUUUGUCUAUAAACAUCUGUGAUUCGAACUGUCUACAUUUGGGUCUUGUCCUGAGUCGUGAUAGCAGUAGACAUACCUUUGUAUGCCUCCUCAUCUGUAUACCUGCAGACACAGACACAAAAGGGAGCAGUUCAGUCAUCUGCACCCAAUACAGCUAGCCUUCAACAUAUUCUUAUAGCCUACAGGACAUAUUCUUACCUCUUUGUUGAUUGAUAUCCAUUGAAUUGUGUCCAUGUUCUGUUUUAGAAAGAUUUACACAAAUGUUAAAAUAUAUGGUAUCAUCACAAAACAAUAUCAAAUUUAGAUCACACAAGGGACAAACCUUACCUUCAAUUUAGGAGAUCUUUACAUUUUUCAGUUAAGUGACUGCACCUGCUGUCCUGUCAAAUCCAAAUGUUUCAGUUGGGCAGUUAGGUUCCUGCAAGAACCCUUACAGUUUGGGACCACUGCAUUAGGCUACUCAGUCAAGAACCACUUGUGUAAUCACAUGGUUACACAAUGCAAUUCAUGAGAUUCAUUCACCUAUUGCCAAAUACAUUUGCAGAAUGAUAAUGCAUGUGUGCCCUUAGGCCAACCUGAGGAGUUUGGUGGAGUAAUCUGUCUUGUCAUCUGAGCUUACCACAGGAAGGCUGUGCUGGAGUGAGCGGGAGAGGCAUGAUCCACAGUUUAAAUGUGAAUUGAAAGGUUCCUGUAAAAUUCUCUCCACGCAGAAGUCCAUUUAAAUCAGACCAAAUAUAUUCAGAGAUAAUACAGAGAUAGAGAAAAAAAACACAUUCAACUUUCUUUUUCUUUGUGAAAUAUACCAAUUUCAAUAUACUUGUUAGCUAUACUAUGUUGAUAUGGGUGCUAUGUUGACAUGACACAAUAACUAUGAAUAUUGCUAAAUGUACAUACCAAAACUACUUAAGAGGGAUCAGUAUAAAUCAGUUUUCAACUUAUUGCUAGAGUAACCUAGCUACAAGUCCCGGAAUAGUUGUGAAAUGUUUUAUGUGAGCACAUCUAAAAGGUAUGUUGCCUAAAGACAGAGGAGUGACAGCCAGGACUCGUGAUAUGAACUGACACAACUAUGACAAUGGCCUUGCAUGUCAUCUUUACGCAAGUGAAAACGACACAUGCAAAGAAUACAUAUAUGCUGCACUCAAUCGUAGUGAGUGAAGUGUAAAGUUUGACAUGAAUAAGGUUUCCUGAAGAGGGCAGUAUCAGAGUGUGUUUGGUGGUGUUGCCUGGUAGUCAGCAUUCUCUCUCACUACAUUAUGAACAUUAAAGUGAUGUUCACUUUGCAAAGGUGAAAUUCGAAAUGCUAUACAUCAAAUUGAUUAGGAACUAUCUUGAAAAAGAUUUUGAUUUGAAGCAAAAAGGUAUAUGGGUUAAUGUCAACAGUGUUAGAGAUACUUUAUUGUAUUUGUAAGUAUCUGUGAGUGAUAUAUUUAAGUAUUUCUGUGCAUACAUAAAAGUAGAACUGUUGCCGAACCUUUACUGUACUUCAUGGUGAA
This is a long non-coding RNA of Salmo salar (Atlantic salmon), 1732 nucleotides long. RefSeq lists it as uncharacterized. NCBI's taxonomy places the organism in Eukaryota, Metazoa, Chordata, Actinopteri, Salmoniformes, Salmonidae. The record is from RefSeq and is a predicted model, not a curated record.